AACCCCCAGUUCGACUGGGGGUUCAGGAAAGCUUAUAGCUAUGAGUAGUCAAUCCUUUGAACUCGAUGAUAAGAUGUUAGCCGGUCUGCCAACCGCUAAAACUUAUCGAAGGAGAACAAAG
This 121-nucleotide small RNA is filed under the name Paenibacillus sp. OAS669. Its description in RNAcentral is "STnc490 Hfq binding RNA". It matches the Rfam family "STnc490 Hfq binding RNA". Lineage: Bacteria; Bacillati; Bacillota; Bacilli; Caryophanales; Paenibacillaceae. The record is from Rfam by way of RNAcentral.